GAACGUUCUCGUAUCGAAGCCAUUAUUGC
This 29-nucleotide small RNA is filed under the name Bombyx mori (domestic silkworm). RNAcentral's name for it is "ovarian small RNA-15187". Lineage: Eukaryota; Metazoa; Arthropoda; Insecta; Lepidoptera; Bombycidae. The record is from RNAcentral.